UACGGAGGGUCCAAGCGUUAUCCGGAAUCAUUGGGUUUAAAGGGUCCGUAGGCGGUCUUGUAAGUCAGUGGUGAAAGCCCAUCGCUCAACGGUGGAACGGCCAUUGAUACUGCAAGACUUGAAUUAUUGUGAAGUAACUAGAAUAUGUAGUGUAGCGGUGAAAUGCUUAGAGAUUACAUGGAAUACCAAUUGCGAAGGCAGGUUACUAACAAUAUAUUGACGCUGAUGGACGAAAGCGUGGGUAGCGAACAGG
This 253-nucleotide ribosomal RNA is filed under the name uncultured bacterium. RNAcentral's name for it is "partial 16S ribosomal RNA". It matches the Rfam family "Bacterial small subunit ribosomal RNA", at positions 524 to 776 of the family's 1533-position model. The record is from RNAcentral.